CCCGGGCCUUGUACACACCGCCCGUCACGCCAUGGGAGUUGGUUUUACCCGAAGACGGUGCGCCAACCGCAAGGAGGCAGCCGGCCACGGUAGGGUCAGCGACUGGGGUG
Molecule: ribosomal RNA, 110 nt
Filed under: uncultured bacterium
Lineage: Bacteria
Description: partial 16S ribosomal RNA
Rfam family: Bacterial small subunit ribosomal RNA
Source: RNAcentral